Molecule: ribosomal RNA, 460 nt
Filed under: uncultured bacterium
Lineage: Bacteria
Description: partial 16S ribosomal RNA
Rfam family: Bacterial small subunit ribosomal RNA
Source: RNAcentral
CCUACGGGAGGCUGCAGUGAGGAAUAUUGGUCAAUGGGCGCGAGCCUGAACCAGCCAAGUCGCGUGAGGGAGGACGGCCCUACGGGUUGUAAACCUCUUUUGCCGGGGAGCAACGGGCGCCACGUGUGGCGUCACUGAGAGUACCCGGAGAAAAAGCAUCGGCUAACUCCGUGCCAGCAGCCGCGGUAAUACGGAGGAUGCGAGCGUUAUUGGGAUUUAUUGGGUGUAAAGGGUGCGUAGGCGGAUGGUUAAGUCAGUGGUAAAAUUGAGGGGCUAAGCCCCUUCCCGCCAUUGAAACUGGCGUUCUUGAGUGGAAGAGAGGUAUGCGGAAUGCGUGGUGUAGCGGUGAAAUGCAUAGAUACCACGCAGAACCCCGAUUGCGAAGGCAGCAUGCCGGCUUCCGACUGACGCUGAAGCACGAAAGCGUGGGGAUCGAACAGGAUUAGAUACCCCAGUAGUC